RNAcentral lists this ribosomal RNA (301 nucleotides) under uncultured bacterium. RNAcentral describes it as "partial 16S ribosomal RNA". It matches the Rfam family "Bacterial small subunit ribosomal RNA", at positions 509 to 809 of the family's 1533-position model. The record is from RNAcentral.
CAGCAGCCGCGGUAAUACGAAGGGGGCUAGCGUUGUUCGGAAUUACUGGGCGUAAAGCGCACGUAGGCGGACAUUUAAGUCAGGGGUGAAAUCCCGGGGCUCAACCCCGGAACUGCCUUUGAUACUGGGUGUCUAGAGUAUGGAAGAGGUGAGUGGAAUUCCGAGUGUAGAGGUGAAAUUCGUAGAUAUUCGGAGGAACACCAGUGGCGAAGGCGGCUCACUGGUCCAUUACUGACGCUGAGGUGCGAAAGCGUGGGGAGCAAACAGGAUUAGAUACCCCGGUAGUCCCUGUCUCUUAUAA